CAAACUAACAAGGUAUUCCCUUAGUAACGGCGAGUGAACAGGGAAAAGCCCAGCACCGAAGCCUGUGAUCUUUUGGUCACUAGGCAAUGUGGUGUUUAGGUCUUCUUGCGGAGGCACUGCUCCACUUCAAGUCCAGCAUUGAGUACGGUUUUUUGGACUUGGCCCAAAGAGGGUGAAAGGCCCGUGGAAGUGGGGUUCAUAUUUGUCAGUGCUUCUCUAAGUUGACCUUGGAGUCGGGUUGUUUGUGAAUGCAGCCCAAAGUGGGUGGUAAACUCCAUCCAAGGCUAAAUACUUACACGAGUCCGAUAGCGAACAAGUACCGUGAGGGAAAGUUGAAAAGUACUUUGAAGAGAGAGUAAACAGUGCGUGAAACCGCAUAGAGGUAAACGGGUAGAGUUGAACUGCAAUCCUUAUGAAUUCAGCUGGUGAACAUGGCUUGAGCUUGGUCAAAUCUGUCAACUUUGUGAAUCUGCCCAUUUGCAGGUCCCUGCUUCUGUAGGGAUUCGUGAUGCACUUAUCAAGUGUUACGAGUUCAUGAUGUUUUGGGCUUGUUUGCCAGUGCACUUUCAUAAGGUGAUCACCACGACCGGCACUGCUGUCUGUCUUCUGUGGUCAAACCGUUUGGGCUUAGUCCUCGUGGCUUUGCUCUUUCGGGAUGGCAGGUAGCCUGUUAAUUGCGCUUGCGUAGUUUUCGGGUGUAAUAGUUGACUACAGUUGGAUUGUGCAGUGUGCCGGAGAUGGCGGCUUAUUGGGAUGUGCAUGCGUUCCUAUCUGCUGGCAGCGUUGAGUCUGGUUACCAUGUGCUUGUAAAAGCAGGCCUGGUAGUGUCUCUGUGCUGUGUGGCGGAUGGUUGCGUGUGUGAUCCUUUGAUGGGCCUAAAGUCUGUGGUGUAGUGGUAAACGAUCUACCUGACCCGUCUUGAAACACGGACCAAGGAGUUUAACAUGUGCGCGAGUCAUUGGGCGUCACGAAACCCACAGGCGAAGUGAAAGUAAAGGUUCGGCUUGCACGAACUAUGGUGAGAUCUUGUCGUUUCCUCUGCGUGGUACCACCAAGCACUCGAGCGGCAGGCGCAUCACCGGCCCGUCUCAAAAUGUAGUUAUGAUUUUAUUAUACAUCAUUGGGGCGGAGCAUGAGCGCACACGUUGAGACCCGAAAGAUGGUGAACUAUGCUUGCGCAGGUUGAAGCCAGAGGAAACUCUGGUGGAGGACCGUAGCGAUUCUGACGUGCAAAUCGAUCGUCAAACGUGAGUAUAGGGGCGAAAGACUA
This 1270-nucleotide ribosomal RNA is filed under the name Prototransversotrema steeri. Its description in RNAcentral is "eukaryotic LSU rRNA". It matches the Rfam family "Eukaryotic large subunit ribosomal RNA", at positions 61 to 933 of the family's 3401-position model. Lineage: Eukaryota; Metazoa; Platyhelminthes; Trematoda; Azygiida; Transversotrematidae. The record is from RNAcentral.